AUUCCCAUUCCAAUUCCUUCAGUCCAAAAUCCAAACGGUGCUAAACCAUAGAUUGUUAUCCAUAUACACAACCCAAGGACAUUCUCUCGCUCUUCAUGCGUGACCCAAGAAGAAACCCGUCGUGUUCUUUUCUCUCUUGGCUUUGUCUCUCCACCUUUGCCUCCAUCGCAACCAGGUAGACGUUCCAUCCUUCCAUCAUUUUGUCUCUGUCGCAAAUAGUUAAACGUUAUUCUCAGCCACAUCUUUUUUUGUGUACAUCUUUUAUCACGUUCUCCGUUCAAAUCCUCGCCGUCCUGAUCUCUGACGUCCUCCAUUCAAUCCUCGCGGUGGAAGUCGUCGUCGAUCGUUGCUCCUUCGAAAAUGUUCAACCGCGGGGCUCCAUCGAAGACCCCAAACGUUGUUGGGCCCACGCCAAUGACAAACAACAUAACCGCUCGCUUAGCUCUGUCUUAAUCUCAGACGUCGUUUAUUCUACGUAGCGUGGUUCAUGAUUGAAGGCGGCACCGAAAAGAAAGAAAAAGACAUUGAAGGAUGUAGAGGAAGAAUAUUAAGAUCGAGGAGAAAGAGAAGCAAGAGGAUAGGGUAUGUAAUGGAGAGGAGGAUGGGAAUACAAAUGAAGAAGAAGCAAGUGAAGAUGACAAUGAGCAAAAGAGAAAAGAUGACAACGAAGGCAAAAGUUCAAAAAGCGAAGAAGAAACAUUAGCGUGAGAACCAAGGAGAAACAAACUCACAAGCGAAAGAAGGUAACAAGUAUGAAGGGCAAAGAAAGGGAGAAGAAUGAAGGAAGCAACUAGGGGAAAACACUACUAACAAAAAAGGAAGAAAAGAUAUGUUUAUUGAUAUUAAUUUGACCUUACUGACCGGCUAAUCCUACAUAUUUUAACUUAUAAUCCCAUCUAUAAUAUUACAAUCUUAAGAAACAUUUAUUUUAUUUCAUCA
Long non-coding RNA from Cucumis sativus (cucumber), 939 nucleotides. RefSeq lists it as uncharacterized. The transcript is spliced from 5 exons. The record is from RefSeq and is a predicted model, not a curated record. Lineage: Eukaryota; Viridiplantae; Streptophyta; Magnoliopsida; Cucurbitales; Cucurbitaceae.